CCAUCUACGAUGUUCCAUCUCCCCCUCAAUUCUCUGUUUAAACCGAUGAAGACCCAUUUGCUGAAUACACUUUUUUCCUAGUCAAAGACGUCGUCUAUGGUGCUCAACACAGUUAGAAACAACUCACAUUGGAGAUACAAAAUGGAUGACCCUUCGCGUAUUCCAUCCACUGCCUCAAAGAGACGACAUUGUGCAUUAACAAAUCCUGCUCGUGGCCGAGGUCAAGGUUGAGGUCGAGAUCAGGGUCAGGGUAGAGGUCGGGGUGAUGAUAUUGUGUUGGAGGAAGCACUUCAAAUCUUGGAAGAGGAUGUGAUUGAUAAUGGUUCAGGGGAUGAUGAUGAUGCUGCUGAUGUUGAUUAGGCUGAGAAGGUACUCACUGGUUCGUUUCCCGGGGGGCCAUCAGAUCCAUCAGUACUGAAAAGCUUCAAGGCACAUAUUACAGCAACUAUAUGGGAGCAAAAGGAAAGAAAUCCCUUUAGGUGUUAUAAUCAUGCGUCCAAGAUUCUUGAAUGGCGGUGGUGGUCAAGAACCGACAAUAGAAGGUUUAGAGACAUUGUGCAACAGUUAGGCCUAUCUUCUUUGGUCCAUUGCACAUAUCAAUUCGUGAAUAGGAUUGUCAUAUCUAUAUUUGUUGAGCGAUGGCAACAGAGACAAAUACUUUCCAUUUGACAGUUGGUGAGACGACAAUGACAUUGGAUGAUAUGGGUACCAUCUUGGGGAUCCCCAUCACAGGUAGAUCAGUUUGUGCUGCAACUUUGACAGAUUAACAGGCACAAGUAGGGGUGUUCGCGGAUCGGUUUUGUGCGGUUUGCGGUUCGGUUUUGACCCGCCUGCAUCUAUGCGGUUUGGGAAAAAGUCAACCCACAACUGCCCGCAGUGCGGUUUGCGGUUUGU
Long non-coding RNA from Camellia sinensis, 894 nucleotides. RefSeq lists it as uncharacterized. The record is from RefSeq and is a predicted model, not a curated record. Lineage: Eukaryota; Viridiplantae; Streptophyta; Magnoliopsida; Ericales; Theaceae.